GCGCACCAUCGGUAGAUGGNGGGGACNCGUAGGAGACUGCCGGGGUCAACAUCGGAGGAAGGNUGGGGAUUACGNUCAAGAUCAUCAUGCCCCUUAUAUCUAGGGCUGCAAACAUGCUACAAUGGCUGGUACAACGGGCUGCAAUACCGCGAGGUGGAGCAAAUCCCUUAAAGCCAGUCUCAGUUCGGAUAGGAGUCUGCAACUCGACUCCAUGAAGUCGGAGUCACUAGUAAUCCCGGAUCAGCUACGCCGGGGUGAAUACGUUCCCAGGCCUNGUACACACCGCCCGUCACACCACGAAAGUCGGCAACACCCGAAGUCAGUGGCUUUUCCCGCAAGGGGGGGAGCUGCCGAAGGUGGGGUGGGUGAUUGGGGUGAAGUCGUAACAAGGUAGCCGUACCGGAAGGUGCAGCUGGAUCACCUCCUUUCUAAGGAGCAUCCGAGUAACUCACUCGGAGCACCGUUGAGGCACUGGCUAGUNUGGUCUGUNCGAAGCUUCGAUACUCGAGUNCGCUCGUAUCGCCGGCGACGGCCAGGUCGUUCCAUCCUCUCUUCGUNUGGAGGGACGCAGUGUCCCUUUGCCAUCGAGCUGUGCGCGAGCGCUUGUCUGACUGCCGCUCGAUCUGCCCUUGAGAAUGCUAGCGACACGAGCAUCUUCUNCAUAAUUAAGAUGCAGCUACAAGAGCCACGCGAGCCUGGCGUUCUACGAGAGAGCGGAGCGCAAAGCACGGGCGCGACAGCUGACGUGAGUCGAUGGAACGAUAUAUAUCCGCGCGAGUGACUUGAACUCC
RNAcentral lists this ribosomal RNA (791 nucleotides) under uncultured bacterium. Its description in RNAcentral is "bacterial SSU rRNA". The stretch from base 1 to 428 matches the Rfam family "Bacterial small subunit ribosomal RNA", at positions 1112 to 1533 of the family's 1533-position model. The record is from RNAcentral.